Molecule: ribosomal RNA, 860 nt
Filed under: uncultured bacterium
Lineage: Bacteria
Description: bacterial SSU rRNA
Rfam family: Bacterial small subunit ribosomal RNA
Source: RNAcentral
UGGAGGAUGAAGAUUUUCGGAUCGUAACUCCUGUCGAAUGGGACGAAUAGAUUGCGGGUUACAGCCCGCGAUCCUGACGGUACCGUUAAAGGAAACCCCGGCUAACUCCGUGCCAGCAGCCGCGGUAAUACGGGGGGGGUAAGCGUUGUUCGGAAUUACUGGGCGUAAAGGGCUCGUAGGCGGCCAACUAAGUCAGACGUGAAAUCCCUCAGCUUAACUGGGGAACUGCGUCUGAUACUGGAUGGCUUGGAUUCGGGAGAGGGAUGCGGAAUUCCAGGUGUAGCGGUGAAAUGCGUAGAUAUCUGGAGGAACACCGGUGGCGAAGGCGGCAUCCUGGACCGAUAUUGACGCUGAGGAGCGAAAGCCAGGGGAGCAAACGGGAUUAGAUACCCCGGUAGUCCUGGCCCUAAACGAUGAAUGCUUGGUGUAGCGGGUAUCGAUCCCUGCUGUGCCGAAGCUAACGCAUUAAGCAUUCCGCCUGGGGAGUACGGUCGUCAAGGCUGAAACUCAAAGGAAUUGACGGGGGCCCGCACAAGCGGUGGAGCAUGUGGUUCAAUUCGACGCAACGCGAAGAACCUUACCCAGGCUUGAACUGCGAGUGACCACGCCCGAAAGGGCGCUUCCGCAAGGACACUCGUAGAGGUGCUGCAUGGCUGUCGUCAGCUCGUGUCGUGAGAUGUUGGGUUAAGUCCCGCAACGAGCGCAACCCUUGUCUGCUGUUGCCAUCACGUUAUGGUGGGCACUCUGCAGAGACUGCCGGUGAUAAACCGGAGGAAGGUGGGGAUGACGUCAAGUCAGCAUGGCCUUUAUGUCUGGGGCUACACACGUGCUACAAUGGCCGGUACAAAGCGUCGCAAACU